This 385-nucleotide ribosomal RNA is filed under the name uncultured bacterium. Its description in RNAcentral is "bacterial SSU rRNA". It matches the Rfam family "Bacterial small subunit ribosomal RNA", at positions 355 to 740 of the family's 1533-position model. The record is from RNAcentral.
UGGGGAAUAUUGCGCAAUGGCCGAAAGGCUGACGCAGCGACGCCGCGUGGGGGAUGAAGCAUUUCGGUGUGUAAACCCCUGUUGCUCGGGACGAACAAUCGGCUUUAGCCGAUCUGACGGUACCGGGUGAGGAAGCACCGGCUAACUCCGUGCCAGCAGCCGCGGUAAUACGGAGGGUGCGAGCGUUGUCCGGAAUCACUGGGCGUAAAGGGCGCGUAGGCGGUCUGCUAAGCGUGUGGUGAAAGCUCGGGGCUCAACCCUGAGUCGGCCAUGCGAACUGGUGGACUAGAGCACUGUAGAGGCAGGUGGAAUUCCGGGUGUAGCGGUGGAAUGCGUAGAGAUCCGGAAGAACACCGGUGGCGAAGGCGGCCUGCUGGGCAGUAGC